AUUGAACGCUGGCGGCAGGCCUAACACAUGCAAGUCGAACGAGUGGCGGACGGGUGAGUAAUGUCUGGGAAACUGCCCGCUGGAGGGGGAUAACUACUGGAAACGGUAGCUAAUACCGCAUACCAUCGGAUGUGCCAAGAUGGGAUUAGCUAGUAGGUGGGGGAACGGCUCACCGAGGCGACGAUCCCUAGCUUGUCUGAGAGGAUGACCAGCCACACUGGAACUGAGUCACGGUCCAGACUCCGCCGGGAGGCAGCAGUGGUGAAUAUUGCACAAGGGGCGCAAGCCUGAUGCAGCCAUGCCGCGUGUAUGAAGAAGUCCUUCGGGUUGUAAAGUACUUUCAGCGAGGAGGCGUUACUCGCAGAAGAAGCACCGGCUAACUCCGUGCCAGCAGCCGCGGUAAUUC
RNAcentral lists this ribosomal RNA (406 nucleotides) under uncultured bacterium. RNAcentral's name for it is "partial 16S ribosomal RNA". It matches the Rfam family "Bacterial small subunit ribosomal RNA", at positions 30 to 526 of the family's 1533-position model. The record is from RNAcentral.